GGUCAUUUAGAGGAAGUAAAAGUCGUAACAAGGUUUGACCGAGUUGGAAGAUCCUUCCCCAGUGACACUCACAGAAGCCUUUGCAGCCCCGCAAGGGGUGUGCUCCCUGCGACGGUAAAUAAUUUGGAGCCCCGAGCCUUGGAUGUCCAGGGCUCGUGCGGUACUUUCGAAUUGCGGGGAUACCCUAAAGCUCUACUCUACUAACCCACGGGGCAACCUGCUUGGGGGCCUGUGCUAGCCACAUGGGAGCGAAGUUAAAAUUGAGUACGAGAUAAGAUGCCGUGUCCGGUGUCGGUAUGGGCGAUCCGCAUCCAGCUCCCCCAUGGGAGUCGGUUCACAGACUAAGUGAAAGUGGCGGCAACCCCGCUCAAGAUAUAGUCGGGCCCCCGAGGAAACUCAGGGGAUCAGUUCAACUGGCCUGUCUCUUCAUAGUAUAGGCGAUACAACCGUUCCGUAGGUGAACCUGCGGAAGGAUCAUUA
Molecule: ribosomal RNA, 480 nt
Filed under: Caloplaca sp. 110
Lineage: Eukaryota; Fungi; Ascomycota; Lecanoromycetes; Teloschistales; Teloschistaceae
Description: partial 18S ribosomal RNA
Rfam family: Group I catalytic intron (bases 130-402)
About the family: Group I catalytic introns are large self-splicing ribozymes.
Source: RNAcentral